AAAUUGAAGAGUUUGAUCAUGGCUCAGAUUGAACGCUGGCGGCAGGCCUAACACAUGCAAGUCGAACGGUAACAGGAAGCAGCUUGCUGCUUCGCUGACGAGUGGCGGACGGGUGAGUAAUGUCUGGGAAACUGCCUGAUGGAGGGGGAUAACUACUGGAAACGGUGGCUAAUACCGCAUAACGUCGCAAGACCAAAGAGGGGGACCUUCGGGCCUCUUGCCAUCAGAUGUGCCCAGAUGGGAUUAGCUGGUUGGUGAGGUAACGGCUCACCAAGGCGACGAUCCCUAGCUGGUCUGAGAGGAUGACCAGCCACACUGGAACUGAGACACGGUCCAGACUCCUACGGGAGGCAGCAGUGGGGAAUAUUGCACAA
This 374-nucleotide ribosomal RNA is filed under the name Salmonella enterica. RNAcentral describes it as "bacterial SSU rRNA". It matches the Rfam family "Bacterial small subunit ribosomal RNA", at positions 1 to 371 of the family's 1533-position model. The record is from RNAcentral. Lineage: Bacteria; Pseudomonadati; Pseudomonadota; Gammaproteobacteria; Enterobacterales; Enterobacteriaceae.